AACGAACGCUGGCGGCAGGCUUAACACAUGCAAGUCGAACGCGUGCAGCAAUGCACGAGUGGCGCACGGGUGAGUAACGAGUGGAUAUCUGCCUUUUGGUUCGGAAUAACCCCGGGAAACUGGGGCUAAUACCGGAUGGUUCCUACGGGAUAAAGAUUAAUCGCCAAAAGAUGAGUCCGCGUCUGAUUAGCUAGUUGGUGAGGUAAUGGCUCACCAAGGCGACGAUCGGUAGCUGGUCUGAGAGGAUGAUCAGCCACACUGGGACUGAGACACGGCCCAGACUCCUACGGGAGGCAGCAGUGGGGAAUAUUGGACAAUGGGGGAAACCCUGAUCCAGCCAUGCCGCGUGAGUGAUGAAGGCCUUCGGGUUGUAAAGCUCUUUUGGCGGGGAAGAUGAUGACGGUACCCGCAGAAUAAGCCCCGGCUAACUUCGUG
Molecule: ribosomal RNA, 435 nt
Filed under: uncultured bacterium
Lineage: Bacteria
Description: partial 16S ribosomal RNA
Rfam family: Bacterial small subunit ribosomal RNA
Source: RNAcentral